GUGCCAGCAGCCGCGGUAAGACGUAGGGCGCGAGCGUUGUCCGGAUUUAUUGGGCGUAAAGAGCUCGUAGGCGGCUUGUUGCGUCGACUGUGAAAACCCGCGGCUUAACUGCGGGCUUGCAGUUGAUACGGGCAGGCUAGAGUUCGGUAGGGGAGACUGGAAUUCCUGGUGUAGCGGUGAAAUGCGUAGAUAUUGCUAGGAACACCAAUGGCGAAGGCAGCUUGCUGGGCUACUCCUGACAUUGAGGUACGAAAGCGUGGGGAGCGAACAGGAUUAGAAACCCUGGUAGUCC
Molecule: ribosomal RNA, 292 nt
Filed under: uncultured bacterium
Lineage: Bacteria
Description: partial 16S ribosomal RNA
Rfam family: Bacterial small subunit ribosomal RNA
Source: RNAcentral